AAGCUGUGUCCACCUGCCUCACACUUUAUUAUUUUAUCUUAGUCCUUUCUUCUAUAUGAAAGACUUUACUUAGAAACCACUUAAAAAUAACAGGUAUAAAAUUUCUGUCUUAAGACCCCUUUCCUCCCAUCAAACUCUUUACCACUCUUCAAAUUCAUGGCUCUUUAUCUAAUUGUUAUAUCACACACACACACACACAUACACACACACACACACACACACACACACACACACACACACACACACACACACACACUCACUCACUCCCAAAUAUAACCUGUUCCCUUGUUUAUAUGUAUAUUUUCAGGGCUGGUCAUUUGGUACUGAACAACUAAUUGGUGUGCUCUUCCCUGGGAAAGGUCCCCAGGAGAAGACUUUGAUAACAAGUACAUUGGAGCCACGAGACACUGCCAACAGUGACACAGUGCAGAACGGUGACACUGGUCUGUAAGCAUCUUAACCAUGGCCUUCCUUGCACCGGGACAGAUUCAUGCCACGGAAUCAGUGUGGUGCUCAAUGCAGAAGAUUGAAGCCAUUGUUGAAAACAAUGCGUUUCCGCAUCUACCCAUCCCACAAGGAACCAAAUCAAGGCACAGAACAUACAGAAAUGUUUCUCAUGUCCAGUAGAGACACUGUGGCUGGUCUUCCUAAUUUCCAACUCGCUCUAUGUCCCCAGUCUUCAGAACAACCCCACCUGGAGUGA
Molecule: long non-coding RNA, 703 nt
Filed under: Rattus norvegicus (Norway rat)
Lineage: Eukaryota; Metazoa; Chordata; Mammalia; Rodentia; Muridae
Description: long non-coding RNA NONRATT032413
Source: RNAcentral